CUAAUUAUAUCACCCAGAGACCCAGGGCCGAGCGUGUGGGCAUUUUUCAGCUGACCCAGCCUGUUUCUACUUGCUUUGCAUGAUUGUUCUUGAUUUUUCAAAAUAAUAAUAACCACUACCAACCAGGGGGAAAAAAAUCCCCCCAGGGGCUGUGGAGCAGGCUCCCGGAGCAAGAGUCCUGGGCCACCUGCUGUUCCAGAGAGACCUACUCAGCAUUCUUGGUUGCCAAAACUAAAAGUUCAGCAUUAGGAUGACUCGCCUUCAGGGUGUUAGCGCUGUAAGUUCCAUGCCCAGGAAACCCUGUCAGUCCCAGGCAAACAGGACCAUUGGUCACCGGAGGUCUGGUGUAUGAGGCAACCAAAACACAGAAAGGUCAAGGUGCUCACCCAAGUCACACAGCUAGGAAGCUGCAGAAGAGAGACUUGAACCAGGCACUCUGCUUCCUGAGGCCACAUAUUUUGUGCACAGACCUGAACUCCCGUGCCAUGACUGGAUUUAAGGGUUACAUAUUGACAUGAUACAAUAUUCAGAAAAUCUGAAGGCUCUUCAGUGGAAAGAUCUCUUUCUACCUUGUUCCGCAUGUGCCCAUUUUCUCUCCUGUGGCGCUCACUGUUACCAUUUUCUGAGACUCCUCCCUGAGGCCCCUCUACGCUAGGAAACAGGAAAACAGAGCCGCAAGAAUAAUUCACUACUAGGAGAGAAAUACCGCAAUCGUGCUCGAAAGAUCGCUAACAUCUCCCUCUCUAGAACAGUGAGUCAAGCUACGAAGUUUGGUGUCGUGAAACCUACUCCUCUACCCCUCCCCCCCCCGUUUCAGG
Molecule: long non-coding RNA, 818 nt
Organism: Suricata suricatta (meerkat)
Lineage: Eukaryota; Metazoa; Chordata; Mammalia; Carnivora; Herpestidae
Exons: 5
Source: RefSeq, a predicted model, not a curated record